AGCAGCCGCGGUAAUUCCAGCUCCAAUAGCGUAUAUUAAAGUUGUUGCAGUUAAAAGCUCGUAGUUGAAUUUCGGGAUUGGCGCAUCGGUCGUGCCUCACGGGGUAUGAACUGGUGCAGUCAAUUUCUCACCUUCUGGAGAACCGCGAUGUCCUUAAUUGGAUGCCGCGGGGAACCAGGACCUUUACUUUAGAAAAAUUGAGUGUUUAAAGCAGGCAUUUUUGCUUGAAUACAUUAGCAUGGAAUAAUAAAAUAGGACGGCAUGGUUCUAUUUUGUUGGUUUCUAGGACCACCGUAAUGAUUAAUAGGGAUAGUUGGGGGCAUUAGUAUUCAAUUGUCAGAGGUGAAAUUCUUGGAUUUAUUGAAGACUAACUACUGCGAAAGCAUUUGCCAAGGAUGUUUUCAUUAAUCAAGAACGAAAGUUAGGGAUCGAAGACGAUCAGAUACCGUCGUAGUCUUAACCAUAAACUAUGCCGACUAGGAAUCAGACGAUGUUAAUUUUUAAUGUACUUCGUUUGGCU
This 520-nucleotide unclassified non-coding RNA is filed under the name uncultured Entrophospora. RNAcentral describes it as "SSU rRNA". It matches the Rfam family "Eukaryotic small subunit ribosomal RNA", at positions 569 to 1085 of the family's 1831-position model. The record is from RNAcentral. Lineage: Eukaryota; Fungi; Glomeromycota; Glomeromycetes; Entrophosporales; Entrophosporaceae.